Molecule: microRNA precursor, 89 nt
Organism: Vitis vinifera (wine grape)
Lineage: Eukaryota; Viridiplantae; Streptophyta; Magnoliopsida; Vitales; Vitaceae
Rfam family: mir-395 microRNA precursor family
About the family: mir-395 was identified in both Arabidopsis thaliana and Oryza sativa computationally and was later experimentally verified. mir-395 is thought to target mRNAs coding for ATP sulphurylases. The mature sequence is excised from the 3' arm of the hairpin.
Source: Rfam
GUGCCCCCUAGAGUUCCCCUGACCACUUCACUGGGGGAUCUUCUGUAAUGACUUCCUACUGAAGUGUUUGGGGGAACUCCUGGUGUCAU